AACGCACGAGACCUGCGGACCUGCGGAAGGAUCAUUACCGUGCCGCGGGGCGCGUUCACGCGUGUCCCCGCAACCGGCCACCCGUGCUUACCUGACCUUCUGUUGCCUCGGCGGGCCCGCUCCCCGUAAGCCCCCUAGUUUUCUAGGGGCUUUAGGGAGCCGUCGGGGGGGUUAUCCUCCCUGGUCCGCGCCCGCCAGAGGACCUCUUUUGAACUCUUAUGAAGCCCCAGUGAAGUCUGA
This 240-nucleotide unclassified non-coding RNA is filed under the name soil metagenome. RNAcentral's name for it is "partial contains 5.8S ribosomal RNA, internal transcribed spacer 2, and large subunit ribosomal RNA". The record is from RNAcentral.